UGGCGGACGGGUGAGUAACGCGUGGAAAACCUGCCGUAUACUGGGGGAUAACACUUAGAAAUAGGUGCUAAUACCGCAUAAGCGCACAGCUUCGCAUGAAGCGGUGUGAAAAACUCUGGUGGUAUACGAUGGUUCCGCGUCUGAUUAGCUAGUUGGCGGGGUAGAGGCCCACCAAGGCGACGAUCAGUAGCCGGCCUGAGAGGGUGGACGGCCACAUUGGGACUGAGACACGGCCCAAACUCCUACGGGAGGCAGCAG
Molecule: ribosomal RNA, 258 nt
Filed under: uncultured bacterium
Lineage: Bacteria
Description: partial 16S ribosomal RNA
Rfam family: Bacterial small subunit ribosomal RNA
Source: RNAcentral